Small nuclear RNA from Leptonychotes weddellii (Weddell seal), 104 nucleotides. Lineage: Eukaryota; Metazoa; Chordata; Mammalia; Carnivora; Phocidae. The record is from RefSeq and is a predicted model, not a curated record.
GCACUCGCUUUAGCAGCACAUAUACUAAAGUUGGAACAAUACAGAGGGGAGCAUGGUCCCUGCACAAGGAUGACAUGCAAAUUCCUGAAGUGUUCCAUAUUAAA